RNAcentral lists this ribosomal RNA (560 nucleotides) under Filobasidium uniguttulatum. RNAcentral describes it as "partial large subunit ribosomal RNA". It matches the Rfam family "Eukaryotic large subunit ribosomal RNA", at positions 51 to 617 of the family's 3401-position model. The record is from RNAcentral. Lineage: Eukaryota; Fungi; Basidiomycota; Tremellomycetes; Filobasidiales; Filobasidiaceae.
CGGAGGAAAAGAAACUAACAAGGAUUCCCCUAGUAACGGCGAGCGAAGCGGGAAGAGCUCAAAUUUGAAAUCUGGUGGCCUCAGGUCAUCCGAGUUGUAAUCUAUAGAAGUGUUUUCCGUGCUGGCCCAUGUACAAGUCCCUUGGAACAGGGCGUCAUAGAGGGUGAGAAUCCCGUCCUUGACAUGGACUACCAGUGCUCUGUGAUACACUUUCAACGAGUCGAGUUGUUUGGGAAUGCAGCUCAAAAUGGGUGGUAAAUUCCAUCUAAAGCUAAAUAUUGGCGAGAGACCGAUAGCGAACAAGUACCGUGAGGGAAAGAUGAAAAGCACUUUGGAAAGAGAGUUAAACAGUAUGUGAAAUUGUUGAAAGGGAAACGAUUGAAGUCAGUCGUGCUCAAUGGACUCAGCCGUUGUGCGGUGUAUUUCCAUUGGGUGGGGUCAACAUCAGUUUUGAUCGCUGGAUAAAGGCAGGAGGAAUGUAGCACCCCCGGGUGAACUUAUAGCCUCUUGUCACAUACAGUGGUUGGGACUGAGGAACGCAGCAUGCCUUUAUGGCCGGG